CUCGUAGGUGGCCAACUAAGUCAGACGUGAAAUCCCUCGGCUUAACCGGGGAACUGCGUCUGAUACUGGAUGGCUUGAGUAUGGGAGAGGGAUGCGGAAUUCCAGGUGUAGCGGUGAAAUGCGUAGAUAUCUGGAGGAACACCGGUGGCGAAGGCGGUAUCCUGGACCAUUACUGACACUGAGGAGCGAAAGCCAGGGGAGCAAACG
RNAcentral lists this ribosomal RNA (207 nucleotides) under uncultured bacterium. RNAcentral describes it as "partial 16S ribosomal RNA". It matches the Rfam family "Bacterial small subunit ribosomal RNA", at positions 568 to 774 of the family's 1533-position model. The record is from RNAcentral.